ACUGCGGAGGGAUCAUUACACAAUAAACAUAUGAAGGCUGCACCGCCAACAGGCGGCAAGGCUGGAGUAUUUUAUUACCCUUGUCUUUUGCGCACUUGUUGUUUCCUGGGCGGGUUCGCCCGCCUCCAGGACCACAUGAUAAACCUUUUUUAUGCAGUUGCAAUCAGCGUCAGUACAACAAAUGUAAAUCAUUUACAACUUUCAACAACGGAUCUCUUGGUUCUGGCAUCGAUGAAGAACGCAGCGAAAUGCGAUACGUAGUGUGAAUUGCAGAAUUCAGUGAAUCAUCGAAUCUUUGAACGCACAUUGCGCCCUUUGGUAUUCCAAAGGGCAUGCCUGUUCGAGCGUCAUUUGUACCCUCAAGCUUUGCUUGGUGUUGGGCGUUUUUUGUCUUUGGUUUUGUCCAAAGACUCGCCUUAAAACGAUUGGCAGCCGGCCUACUGGUUUCGCAGCGCAGCACAUUUUUGCGCUUGCAAUCAGCAAAAGAGGACGGCACUCCAUCAAGACUCUAUAUCACUUUUGACCUCGGAUCAGGUAGGGAUACCCGCUGAACUUAAGCAUA
RNAcentral lists this ribosomal RNA (562 nucleotides) under Curvularia geniculata. RNAcentral's name for it is "eukaryotic LSU rRNA". The stretch from base 197 to 350 matches the Rfam family "5.8S ribosomal RNA". Lineage: Eukaryota; Fungi; Ascomycota; Dothideomycetes; Pleosporales; Pleosporaceae. The record is from RNAcentral.